GGGGCAUGCACAGAUAUUAAAAGCAUUAAAUAUAGUGUUUAAAAAAUUGACACAAAUUUUGUAAAAUGGUUUUAGAAGUUCAUUGUUGGAUUUUUUCUUGUGUGUGUGUGUGUGUGUGUCUGUGUCUGUGUGCUGGGAAUUGAACCCAGGGCCAUCCCCA
RNAcentral lists this small RNA (160 nucleotides) under Marmota monax (woodchuck). Lineage: Eukaryota; Metazoa; Chordata; Mammalia; Rodentia; Sciuridae. The record is from RNAcentral.